GUUGAACGCUGGCGGCAGGCCUAACACAUGCAAGUCGAGCGGAUGAAGGGAGCUUGCUCCUGGAUUCAGCGGCGGACGGGUGAGUAAUGCCUAGGAAUCUGCCUGGUAGUGGGGGAUAACGUCCGGAAACGGGCGCUAAUACCGCAUACGUCCUGAGGGAGAAAGUGGGGGAUCUUCGGACCUCACGCUAUCAGAUGAGCCUAGGUCGGAUUAGCUAGUUGGUGGGGUAAAGGCCUACCAAGGCGACGAUCCGUAACUGGUCUGAGAGGAUGAUCAGUCACACUGGAACUGAGACACGGUCCAGACCCCUACGGGAGGCAGCAGUGGGGAAUAUUGGACAAUGGGCGAAAGCCUGAUCCAGCCAUGCCGAGUGUGUGAAGAAGGUCUUCGGAUUGUAAAGCACUUUAAGUUGGGAGGAAGGGCAGUAAGUUAAUACCGUGCUGUUUUGACGUUACCAACAGAAUAAGCACCGGCUAACUUCGUG
RNAcentral lists this ribosomal RNA (484 nucleotides) under uncultured bacterium. RNAcentral describes it as "partial 16S ribosomal RNA". It matches the Rfam family "Bacterial small subunit ribosomal RNA", at positions 28 to 507 of the family's 1533-position model. The record is from RNAcentral.